ACCCCAGACUCCUACGGGAGGCAGCAGUGGGGAAUAUUGCACAAUGGGGGGAACCCUGAUGCAGCGACGCCGCGUGGGUGAAGGAGCACCUCGGUGCGUAAAGCCCUAUCGGCAGGGAAGAAACAGACGGUACCCCUUGAAUAAGCCACGGCUAACUACGUGCCAGCAGCCGCGGUAAUACGUAGGUGGCAAGCGUUGUCCGGAUUUACUGGGUGUAAAGGGCGUGCAGCCGGAGAGACAAGUCAGAUGUGAAAUCCACGGGCUCAACCCGUGAACUGCAUUUGAAACUGUUUCCCUUGAGUGUCGGAGAGGUAAUCGGAAUUCCUUGUGUAGCGGUGAAAUGCGUAGAUAUAGGGAAGAACACCAGUGGCGAAGGCGGAUGACUGGACGGCAACUGACGGUGGGGCGCGAAAGCGUGGGGAGCAAACAGGAUUAGAUACCCGAGUAG
Molecule: ribosomal RNA, 448 nt
Filed under: uncultured bacterium
Lineage: Bacteria
Description: bacterial SSU rRNA
Rfam family: Bacterial small subunit ribosomal RNA
Source: RNAcentral